AAUGGUAGAGGCGCAAAAAACAUCAGUAUCUGUUCAGAUUUCCCGGUCUGGCCACCGCUGAGCAGGAGAAAGGGUUUUUUGCCGAAGAUGCAGAUUCCGGCCCGGGAAUUUGUAUCUGGGCUGGCGGAGAAUAUCCGCCGGACUGUCACAGCAAUGUGGAGUGCUAUCA
Molecule: non-coding RNA, 169 nt
Filed under: human gut metagenome
Description: Lysine riboswitch
Rfam family: Lysine riboswitch aptamer
About the family: Riboswitches are metabolite binding domains within certain messenger RNAs that serve as precision sensors for their corresponding targets. Allosteric rearrangement of mRNA structure is mediated by ligand binding, and this results in modulation of gene expression.
Source: RNAcentral